This 1973-nucleotide ribosomal RNA is filed under the name Candidatus Acetothermia bacterium. RNAcentral's name for it is "partial 23S ribosomal RNA". It matches the Rfam family "Bacterial large subunit ribosomal RNA", at positions 694 to 2645 of the family's 2925-position model. Lineage: Bacteria; Candidatus Bipolaricaulota. The record is from RNAcentral.
GUUCAGUCACGGGCGGCAGACGCGAAACCGGGUGAUCUAUCCAUGGCCAGGUUGAAGCGCAGGUAAAACUGCGUGGAGGACCGAACCAUUACACGUUGAAAAGUGCUUGGAUGAGCUGUGGAUAGGGGUGAAAGGCCAAUCAAACCCGGAGAUAGCUCGUACUCCCCGAAAUGUUUUUUGGAACAGCCUCAUGGUAGUCUGCCGGAGGUAGAGCACUGAUAGGGUUAGGGGCCCCACAAGGUUACCGACCCCUGUCAAACUCCGAAUGCCGGUUGUACGUUCCAUGGGAGUGAGCCCGUGGGAGAUAACUUUCACGGGCGAGAGGGAAACAACCCAGACCGACGGCUAAGGUCCCCAAGUGCAGGUUAAGUGAUCAAAGGAUGUGGAAUCGCUUAGACAACUGGGAGGUUGGCUUAGAAGCAGCCAUUCCUUUAAAGAGUGCGUAAUAGCUCACCAGUCAAGUAGUUCUGCGCCGAAAAUUCUCGGGACUAAAUCUGCCACCGAAGCCACGGGAUUCGCCUUCGGGCGGAUCGGUAGGGGAGCAUUCCGUUAACCUGCGAAGGCGUCUCGUGAGAGGCGUUGGAGGACACGGAAAAGACCAUGCUGGCAUGAGUAACGAUAAAACGGGCGAGAAACCCGUUCACCGAAAGCCUAAGGUUUCCUGAGUAAAGUUCGUCUGCUCAGGGUUAGCCGGCCCCUAAGACGAGGCGGAAACGCGUAGUCGAUGGGAAACGGGUCAAUAUUCCCGUGCCGGUAGUCGCGCGUUAUACCUAUGGGGUGACGCAGAAGUGAAAGGCCCGCCACGGAUUGGAUUGCGUGGUCUAAGGGUGUAGGCGGUCGGAGUAGGAAAAUCCGCUCCGGCGUUAACGCUGAGGCCUGAAUGGGAGCCGUAAGGCAUAAACGGGCCCUAAGCUGGCUGCCAAGAAAAACCUCUAUGGAAGUUCGACUGCCGACCGUACCGCAAACCGACACAGGUAGGCGGGGAGAGUAUCCUCAGGUGCUCGAGAGAACCGUGGUCAAGGAACUCGGCAAAAUCGCUCCGUAACUUCGGGAGAAGGAGCGCCUCCAGCGGUGAUCCUCCUUGCGGGGAGAGCUUCCGGAGGCCGCAGUGAAUAGGCCCAGGCGACUGUUUACUAAAAACACAGGUCUCUGCCAAGUCGCAAGACGACGUAUAGGGACUGACACCUGCCCGGUGCCGGAAGGUUAAGGGGAUAUGUCAGCUUUCGGGCGAAGCAUUGAACCGAAGCCCCGGUAAACGGCGGCCGUAACUAUAACGGUCCUAAGGUAGCGAAAUUCCUUGUCGGGUAAGUUCCGACCUGCACGAAUGGUGUAACGAUCUGGGCACUGUCUCGACCACGGACUCGGUGAAAUUGAAUUCUCGGUGAAGAUGCCGGGUACCCGCGGCUGGACGGAAAGACCCCGUGGACCUUUACUACAGCCUGAUAUUGAAUCUUAGCUUUGCAUGUGUAGGAUAGGUGGGAGGCUGUGAAGCGGGCACGCCAGUGUUCGUGGAGCCAACCUUGAAAUACCACCCUUGUACUGUUGAGGUUCUAACCCUGACCGUUAGCCGGUCCGGGAACAGUGUCAGGUGGGUAGUUUGACUGGGGCGGUCGCCUCCUAAAAUGUAACGGAGGCGCCCAAAGGUCACCUCAGCACGGUCGGUAAUCGUGCGCAGAGUGUAAAGGCACAAGGUGGCUUGACUGCGAGUCAGACAAGACGAGCAGGUGCGAAAGCAGGGCUUAGUGAUCCGGCGGUUGUGGAUGGAAAUGCCGUCGCUCAACGGAUAAAAGGUACCCCGGGGAUAACAGGCUUAUCUCCCCCAAGAGUUCACAUCGACGGGGAGGUUUGGCACCUCGAUGUCGGCCCGUCGCAUCCUGGGGCUGGAGAAGGUCCCAAGGGUUUGGCUGUUCGCCAAUUAAAGCGGCACGCGAGCUGGGUUUAGAACGUCGUGAGACAGUUCGGUCCCUAUCCGC